CUGGGAGCGGCCGAAUUCUGAUUAGCUAGUUGGUAGGGUAAAAGCUUACCAAGGCAUCGAUCAGUAACUGGUUUGAGAGGACGACCCAGCCACACUGGAACUGAGACACGGUCCAGACUCCUACGGGAGGCAGCCAGUGGGGAAUUUUGGACAAUGGGCGAAAGCCUGAUCCAGCAAUGCCGCGUGAGUGAAGAAGGCCUUCCGGGUUGUAAAGCUCUUUUGUCAGGGAAGAAACGGUGAGAGCUAAUAUCUCUUGCUAAUGACGGUACCUGAAGAAUAAGCACCGGCUAACUACGUGCCAGCAGCCGCGGUAAUACGUAGGGUGCAAGCGUUAAUCGGAAUUACUGGGCGUAAAGCGUGCGCAGGCGGUUUUGUAAGUCUGAUGUGAAAUCCCCGGGCUCAACCUGGGAAUUGCAUUGGAGACUGCAAGGCUAGAAUCUGGCAGAGGGGGGUAGAAUUCCACGUGUAGCAGUGAAAUGCGUAGAUAUGUGGAGGAACACCGAUGGCGAAGGCAGCCCCCUGGGUCAAGAUUGACGCUCAUGCACGAAAGCGUGGGGAGCAAACAGGAUUAGAUACCCUGGUAGUCCACGCCCUAAACGAUGUCUACUAGUUGUCGGGUCUUAAUUGACUUGGUAACGCAGCUAACGCGUGAAGUAGACCGCCUGGGGAGUACGGUCGCAAGAUUAAAACUCAAAGGAAUUGACGGGGACCCGCACAAGCGGUGGAUGAUGUGGAUUAAUUCGAUGCAACGCGAAAAACCUUACCUACCCUUGACAUGGC
RNAcentral lists this ribosomal RNA (780 nucleotides) under Janthinobacterium sp. 4cultural_40. RNAcentral describes it as "bacterial SSU rRNA". It matches the Rfam family "Bacterial small subunit ribosomal RNA", at positions 220 to 990 of the family's 1533-position model. Lineage: Bacteria; Pseudomonadati; Pseudomonadota; Betaproteobacteria; Burkholderiales; Oxalobacteraceae. The record is from RNAcentral.